This 468-nucleotide ribosomal RNA is filed under the name uncultured bacterium. RNAcentral describes it as "partial 16S ribosomal RNA". It matches the Rfam family "Bacterial small subunit ribosomal RNA", at positions 28 to 507 of the family's 1533-position model. The record is from RNAcentral.
GACGAACGCUGGCGGCGUGCUUAACACAUGCAAGUCGAACGGAAAGGCCCUGCUUUUGUGGGGUGCUCGAGUGGCGAACGGGUGAGUAAUACGUGAGUAACCUGCCCUUGACUUUGGGAUAACUUCAGGAAACUGGGGCUAAUACCGGAUAGGAGCUCCUGCUGCAUGGUGGGGGUUGGAAAGUUUCGGCGGCUGGGGAUGGACUCGCGGCUUAUCAGCUUGUUGGUGGGGUAGUGGCUUACCAAGGCUUUGACGGGUAGCCGGCCUGAGAGGGUGACCGGCCACAUUGGGACUGAGAUACGGCCCAGACUCCUACGGGAGGCAGCAGUGGGGAAUAUUGCACAAUGGGCGGAAGCCUGAUGCAGCAACGCCGCGUGCGGGAUGACGGCCUUCGGGUUGUAAACCGCUUUCGCCUGUGACGAAGCGUGAGUGACGGUAAUGGGUAAAGAAGCACCGGCUAACUACGUG